CCUACGGGUGGCAGCAGUGGGGAAUAUUGCACAAUGGGGGAAACCCUGAUGCAGCGACGCCGCGUGAGUGAAGAAGUAUUUCGGUAUGUAAAGCUCUAUCAGCAGGGAAGAAGCAAGACGGUACCUGACUAAGAAGCCCCGGCUAACUACGUGCCAGCAGCCGCGGUAAUAAGGAGGGGGCAAGCGUUAUCCGGAUUUACUGGGUGUAAAGGGAGCGUAGUGGGUAUGGCAAGUCUGAAGUGGAAGCCCAGGGCAUAAACCUGGGACUGCCUUGGAAACUGUUAGACUUGAGAGCUGGAGAGGUAAGUGGAAUUCCUAGUGUAGCGGUGAAAUGCUUAGAUAUUAGGAGGAACACCAGUGGCGAAGGCGGCUUACUGGACAGGAACUGACGUUGAGGCUCGAAAGCGUGGGGAGCGAACAGGAUUAGAUACCCUGGUAGUC
RNAcentral lists this ribosomal RNA (441 nucleotides) under uncultured bacterium. RNAcentral's name for it is "partial 16S ribosomal RNA". It matches the Rfam family "Bacterial small subunit ribosomal RNA", at positions 338 to 795 of the family's 1533-position model. The record is from RNAcentral.